UACGUAGGGGGCUAGCGUUGUCCGGAUUUAUUGGGCGUAAAGAGCGUGUAGGCGGCCAGGUAGGUCCGUUGUGAAAACUCGAGGCUCAACCUCGAGACGCCGAUGGAAACCAUCUGGCUAGAGUCCGGAAGAGGAGAGUGGAAUUCCCGGUGUAGCGGUGAAAUGCGCAGAUAUCGGGAAGAACACCCGUGGCGAAGGCGGCUCUCUGGGACGGUACUGACGCUGAGACGCGAAAGCGUGGGGAGCGAACAGG
Molecule: ribosomal RNA, 253 nt
Filed under: uncultured bacterium
Lineage: Bacteria
Description: partial 16S ribosomal RNA
Rfam family: Bacterial small subunit ribosomal RNA
Source: RNAcentral